This 255-nucleotide ribosomal RNA is filed under the name uncultured bacterium. Its description in RNAcentral is "partial 16S ribosomal RNA". It matches the Rfam family "Bacterial small subunit ribosomal RNA", at positions 524 to 776 of the family's 1533-position model. The record is from RNAcentral.
UACGUAGGGUGCAAGCGUUAUCCGGAAUUAUUGGGCGUAAAGAGCUCGUGAGCGGUUUGUCACGUCUGCUGUGAAAACUGGAGGCUCAACCUCCAGCCUGCAGUGGGUACGGGCAGACUAGAGUGCGGUAGGGGAGAUUGGAAUUCCUGGUGUAGCGGUGGAAUGCGCAGAUAUCAGGAGGAACACCGAUGGCGAAGGCAGAUCUCUGGGCCGUAACUGACGCUGAGGAGACGGAAAGCAUGGGGAGCGAACAGG